UAUCAUUGAUUUAUUGGUGCUUUAGAUUA
RNAcentral lists this non-coding RNA (29 nucleotides) under Homo sapiens (human). The record is from RNAcentral. Lineage: Eukaryota; Metazoa; Chordata; Mammalia; Primates; Hominidae.